This 72-nucleotide transfer RNA is filed under the name Marmota monax (woodchuck). Its description in RNAcentral is "tRNA.Ala". Lineage: Eukaryota; Metazoa; Chordata; Mammalia; Rodentia; Sciuridae. The record is from RNAcentral.
GUGUAUAGCUCAGUGGUGGUUGAACACUUGCCUAGCAUGCAGAAGGUCCUGGGUUGAAUUCCCAUUACCACA